CUUCUAAGCUGCUUGCAUGUAUUGGCCACAUCAAGGACCUAACAACAAGGCUAGUGGUGUCAGAAGAGAUUUGAUGAUGAGCAGGGUGCUUUUGGAUUCAAUUCUGAUGAUGGAUUUGGUGCUGUUAGAUUUAUGUUGCUAUGGACUGGAUUUGAUUGUGGAGGUUGCAGGUUGGAAGGAUCGGAUGGUGGUCUCUGGAGCAUUAGAAGUAAUUGAUGAUUGGCAUGAAGCCGUCGGAUGAGAACUAGUAAACCAGAGUUUGCUAUUGAAAGGAGGUUGUGGCUGGCAGCUUUUAUAGAGUUG
This 303-nucleotide long non-coding RNA is filed under the name Elaeis guineensis (African oil palm). Its description in RNAcentral is "long non-coding RNA (EGUI_LNC030389)". Lineage: Eukaryota; Viridiplantae; Streptophyta; Magnoliopsida; Arecales; Arecaceae. The record is from RNAcentral.